This 589-nucleotide ribosomal RNA is filed under the name uncultured bacterium. RNAcentral describes it as "bacterial SSU rRNA". It matches the Rfam family "Bacterial small subunit ribosomal RNA", at positions 36 to 656 of the family's 1533-position model. The record is from RNAcentral.
CUGGCGGCGCGCCUAAACAUGCAAGUCGAACGAGAAAGCGAGGGCAACCUCGUGAGUAAAGUGGCGUACGGGUGAGUAACACGUGGAUGAUCUACCUUCUAGUGGGGGAUAACCCUGGGAAACCGGGGCUAAUACCGCAUCAGCCCGAGAGGGGAAAGCAGCAAUGCGCUGGAAGAGGAGUCCGCGGCCGAUUAGCUAGUUGGUAGGGUAAAGGCCUACCAAGGCUACGAUCGGUAGCCGGCCUGAGAGGGCACACGGCCACACUGGCACUGAAACACGGGCCAGACUCCUACGGGAGGCAGCAGUGGGGAAUCUUGCACAAUGGGGGCAACCCUGAUGCAGCGACGCCGCGUGAGCGAUGAAGCCCUUCGGGGUGUAAAGCUCUUUCGGCAGGGAAGAUGAUGACGGUACCUGCAGAAGCAGCUGCGGCUAACUACGUGCCAGCAGCCGCGGUAAUACGUAGGCAGCAAGCGUUGUUCGGAGUUACUGGGCGUAAAGGGUGUGUAGGCGGUUCUCUAAGUUUGGUGUGAAAUCUCCCGGCUCAACUGGGAGGGUGCGCCGAAAACUGGAGGGCUAAAGUGCGGGAUGG